GGCUCCGUGGCGGGUGGCCCGCGUCUGCUACACCUUUGAUGGAUGUCGUGUGAAUUUCAAGCAGAAGCUGCUCGUUCGAAUCGAGCCGGAGUCA
Non-coding RNA from Mycena vitilis, 94 nucleotides. NCBI's taxonomy places the organism in Eukaryota, Fungi, Basidiomycota, Agaricomycetes, Agaricales, Mycenaceae. The record is from the annotation of a GenBank genome assembly.